This is a non-coding RNA of Acanthosepion pharaonis, 98 nucleotides long. The record is from the annotation of a GenBank genome assembly. NCBI's taxonomy places the organism in Eukaryota, Metazoa, Mollusca, Cephalopoda, Sepiida, Sepiidae.
UGUUGAAACACCGGUUCUUGUAUGAUCACCAAAGUUAAGUAAUGUCGAGCCAGGACAGUACCUAGAUGAGUGAACACUUGGGAAUACCAGAUACUGUA